This 45-nucleotide non-coding RNA is filed under the name Echinostoma caproni. The record is from RNAcentral. Lineage: Eukaryota; Metazoa; Platyhelminthes; Trematoda; Plagiorchiida; Echinostomatidae.
GCACCUCUGACGAGUCCCAAACAGGACGAAACAGCUGUUCAGUGC